Molecule: small nuclear RNA, 140 nt
Organism: Impatiens glandulifera
Lineage: Eukaryota; Viridiplantae; Streptophyta; Magnoliopsida; Ericales; Balsaminaceae
Product: U4 spliceosomal RNA
Exons: 1
Source: RefSeq, a predicted model, not a curated record
AUCUUUGUGCUUGGGGCAAUGACAUAGCUAGUGAGGUUUUAACUGAGGCGCGUCAAUUGCUGGUUGAAAACUAUUUCCAAACUCCCUCCUUAGCCUGUGUUUUGCUUUGGCUAUCCAGAAUUUUUGGAAGGGUGUACUCU